CAGCCCUAAACGAUGCGCGUUAGGUGUAUCGGUGACCACGAGUCACCGAGGUGCCGAAGGGAAGCCGUGAAGCGAGCCACCUGGGAAGUACGGCCGCAAGGCUGAAACUUAAAGGAAUUGGCGGGGGAGCACCACAACGGGUGGAGCUUGCGGUUUAAUUGGAUUCAACGCCGGAAAUCUUACCGGGACCGACAGCAACAUGAAGGCCAGGCUGAAGACUUUGCCGGAUUAGCUGAGAGGAGGUGCAUGGCGUAGACGUCU
RNAcentral lists this ribosomal RNA (261 nucleotides) under uncultured archaeon. Its description in RNAcentral is "partial 16S ribosomal RNA". It matches the Rfam family "Archaeal small subunit ribosomal RNA", at positions 748 to 1009 of the family's 1478-position model. The record is from RNAcentral.